This 202-nucleotide unclassified non-coding RNA is filed under the name Hevea brasiliensis (rubber tree). The record is from RNAcentral. Lineage: Eukaryota; Viridiplantae; Streptophyta; Magnoliopsida; Malpighiales; Euphorbiaceae.
CAUGGGUCACUAUGCCUCCGGUUCAAACAUGGGCUUCCACUCAGCCAAAGAGGGAGCCAACAAAUUUUGGAGGCCAAUUCAAAAACAAAAAACAUCAGAGAGAGAGAGAGAGAUAGACAGAGAACAUGAAUAAUCCUAAGGCCUUCAUUUCAUAAUUGACAUUUUAUCCCACUCACUAGGAUCCUUUGGUGGAUUCAUCUCC